GACGAACGCUGGCGGCGUGCUUAACACAUGCAAGUCGAACGGAAAGGCCCUGCUUUUGUGGGGUUCUCGAGUGGCGAACGGGUGAGUAACACGUGAGUAACCUGCCCUUGACUUUGGGAUAACUUCAGGAAACUGGGGCUAAUACCGGAUAGGAGCUCCUGCUGCAUGGUGGGGGUUGGAAAGUUUCGGCGGUUGGGGAUGGACUCGCGGCUUAUCAGCUUGUUGGUGGGGUAGUGGCUUACCAAGGCUUUGAAGGGUAGCCGGCCUGAGAGGGUGACCGGGCACAUUGGGACUGAGAUACGGACCAGACGGCUACGGGAGGCAGCAGUGGGGAAUAUUGCACAGUGGGCGGAAGCCUGAGACGACAGCGCCCCGUGCGGAAUGACGGCCUUCGGGUUGUGAACCGCUGUAGCCUGUGACGAAGCGGGAGUGACGGUAAUGAGUAAAGAAGCACCGGCUAACUACGUG
RNAcentral lists this ribosomal RNA (468 nucleotides) under uncultured bacterium. Its description in RNAcentral is "partial 16S ribosomal RNA". It matches the Rfam family "Bacterial small subunit ribosomal RNA", at positions 28 to 507 of the family's 1533-position model. The record is from RNAcentral.